CAGCAGCCGCGGGAAUACAGAGGGUGCGAGCGUUAAUCGGAUUUACUGGGCGUAAAGCGUGCGUAGGCGGCUUUUUAAGUCGGAUGUGAAAUCCAUGAGCUUAACUUAGGAAUUGCAUUCGAUACUGGGAAGCUAGAGUAUGGGAGAGGAUGGUAGAAUUCCAGGUGUAGCGGUGAAAUGCGUAGAGAUCUGGAGGAAUACCGAUGGCGAAGGCAGCCAUCUGGCCUAAUACUGACGCUGAGGUACGAAAGCAUGGGGAGCAAACAGGAUUAGAUACCCGGGUAGUCCCUGUCUCUUAUAC
This 301-nucleotide ribosomal RNA is filed under the name uncultured bacterium. RNAcentral describes it as "partial 16S ribosomal RNA". It matches the Rfam family "Bacterial small subunit ribosomal RNA", at positions 509 to 807 of the family's 1533-position model. The record is from RNAcentral.